GCCGUGGCGUCGCCGGCGAGGAGAUAGGGGGUAGGGGGCAAGAGGUGGAAGAAGAAAUCGGUCGGGAGGAGGUAAAAGAGCCGCAUCCGCCUCAUGCCUCAAGCCGCCUCCUGGCAUGGACACCUUCGCCCUGAACCUGGCGGCGGCAACCAAGCUCAACCACGAGCUCGCCUGUACCCCACGCCCACACAGGCCGAUUUGUCUCCUAAGAGUCAGUUUGAAAAUUUUCAUAAAGGUAGCCACAGAUAGGCUCAACGCGGCGGCUGACCGCAUGGUCCGCCUGUCUCAAACUACAUUCAUGCAAGGAAGAAACAUCGAGUAGUUAUCCUACAUGAGACCGUCCAUGAGAUGCGCCGGAAAAACAUGAGUGGUUGAUCUUUUAAGAUUGACCAUGCUCUUUGCCGGUGUGUAAUCCACUGUGUGUGCGUUGCUGUUGGAUGUGUACAUCCUAGUCAUGCAGAGGCCAGGUGUGUGCUCGUUGUGCCUAUCCUUUUGAUGUGACCUUAUGAGUCAAUAGAAAGCGCCCUUUAUCGAAAAAAAACACUAAGAAAAGGGCUGAAGUUGUUUUUACCAUUGUUGAGCUUGCCAGUUAUCUAUGAAGGUACACCAGCAAUCAUGGUACUUACGCAAGUAAACUGAAUACAAUGUUCAUGUUCUGAAAAAAUGGACUAAAUAAUCCAAUGCACCUUUCCUUUUGUAUCUGCUAGUUGAAUCACUUCUACUGUGACUCACAAUCCUUGGGGGACCCAAUCCUCCUCUUUGAGUCAUCGCAGUAAUCAUAGACCUUGGAGUUGGCAGCCACCUCCUUCAGUUGCUGUUGCUGCGUCUGGUCCAGUUCCGGGCCGGACGAACCAGGGGAGCUCUGGCCGCAGGCCUUGGAGCUUGGAGAGCAGGUGGAGGCCUUGUAGUUCCGGAAGUAUGCUGUGAACGGUGCUAGUGACCAGUCGGUCUUGACCCGCCCACCCUGUGUCGCCCAGUCAUCCGCAUUCCAGAUGGUGCUGUACACCCUCAUUGGUUGAUAGUUUGGAUAGGGGGCACCAUACAUCAUCUGGUUCUUGAUCUGCCGGAUCAGCUUGUUAUCGACAAGGAUUCUGCAACCCAGCAACAUCCAUAUGAGCUAGGCUUAGUGCUUGCAAAUGCCUUUUCAGUCUAAAAAUUAUUUAACAUGUCCGACUAAACUGAGCAUUCAUGCUUCAUUUGGAACCAAAGGCUAUUUAGAUAGGAGGGGGUAGCUUAGCUAAGCAGGUAUUAGGUUGAACAAGAAUGGAGUAGAUAGGAGUGGGGCUCACCGGAUGUAUUGUUGGGUCCAAAUGAUGCUGUAGGUGUGGAAGUCCUGGGAGGGAUCAAACCAAAGCCGGUACCCCUUCUCUCUGCUGCCUACGCCUCUGGCAUACACGUUGGUGUGCAGGGUGUAGGGGUUGCCGGUGCUGUUCCCCAGGAAUUCAAGGUCGAUCUCAUCAUGGUAUUGCCAUGGUCCCUCUGACAUCAUCUAUUCCCAGAUUGCAAUGCAAGAUGGUUAGUCUUAGUAUUGACAAGUUGACGUGAACGGCGUUAAUCAGUCCAUCACUUACAUAAAAUGUUGUCACUGUGCCGGCUGAGUUCCCGGGCACGAGCUUGAUUUCCAUGUCAAUCCUCCCGAAGAGGUACUUGAUUUUCGAGCUGAAUCCGGAGGUCGUGCUGCGGUCGAGACUCAUCGCGACAGUCUGUCGGCCGGCGCCGUCGCGGAGAACGUUGCACUUUCCCCACAGGAGAUUGACCUCAUCGGUCAUGUCGGCGGCGACCUGGGGGGUGGCCAGGGCGACGAGGUAGAAUGCCGCUAGGGAGGCUAGGAGGUAAGCCCUAGCCUGGCCCAUGGCUUUGGUGGUGUUAAGAGAGUGAGCACUAGGACUGGGCGCAGUGUGAUUGUGCUGCUCGUUAAUGGUAUGGGCGGGCUUAUAUGUAGAAAGAGGUGCAGGGGAGAUUAGGGCUUAUGUGGAAAGAGGUGCAGGGGAGAUUAGUUGGUCCACGUCUAAACAGGAUGAACUUUAAUAGUAAUUAUUCUUGGAAGAUGUAAGAAACUGGAGACAAUCAUGAAGCGGGCGGGCAUAAAGAAUCUUGAUGGAAGUGGGCUUCAUUUAAAGCUUGAUCAGUGAUCGAGUUGAGUGGACUAAUGGUUCAUUUAAAGCUUGAGCAGUCAGUGCCCGAGCUGAGUUGACUAAUGGUUCUAGCUAGGGAUCUAUCAUGGCAACAAUCUGUGAGCUGCGGGGGGGCUACCGUAGCGUGGCUUCUGACAGACUAGGCUGGUUCUCCAGCAAGUUGAAGAUAUAUGAUACUACGAUGGAUGGGUUUUGUUUCAUUCCCUGUUGUGGUGCAGUUUUACUUUUACGUAUCGGAUCACUAGAUCCACUGAAUAAUUCAGUAUGUACACUCAGUCGUAAAGCAUCUUGCUUUCCCAAGCCCUCCAAAUUUGUACGUCUCAGAUCUAGGGCGGCGAUAUCUUCAUCUCCUCCAGCACUCGGUCACAAUUCAGAAUCAUCUGUUGCAGUUCCAAGCCCUGAACUAACUUUCAGAUAUGUGCAGUUUCUUGCAUUCAGACUUCCGAUGUAUACUGGUUGUUCUCUCUCUCAAAUAGAAAAGAGAUGUAUACUGCUUGUUCGGUGGAUCCUCUGAAAGAUUUUGCAUUCGUGAGAUUGUGUAACAGUUAGGUUCGUUAUAGAUGAAUCUUUGGAAGGAGUAUGAAAAAACUUGUCAACUAGGUUAGUAUCUACUAGGUUGGGAGAUCUAAUGGUUGAUCUAUUAACUAAUGCAACUAUGAAAAUGAUGAUGUUCCUCCAUAGGCAUCGAACUGGAAGUCAGAAGGCGAAGUUUGUCAACUGCACAUAACGAGGUGCUGCACAAAAAACUAAAAAUACCGGAAAAUAGUUACAUGAAAGUUUCUGUUUAACCUGCUGUGCAUGUGUGUGCACUUGCCCCCAUAAACCCUUGGGAGACUCAUUUCUACACUCUGAGUAGCUGAAAUCUGGUUGGCCAGAUUUGCUAUGCAUGCUCACAGGAAGUCAUACCGGUGCUUGUUCGAUCUGGAAUCUGAAGUUUUCCAUACUGUCAGAAUUAUAUUUACAGGAGCAUUGCGUGUUAGGAAGCAUUUACACUUGACCUGUCUUUGAAUUGUUUUUGCAUUACAGAAACGAAUAUAAGUCUCAUAAACUUAGUUUUGUUAUAUAUAGUUCUCUUAUCAUGUACUGUCUCAGCAUGAUUUCUCAUAAAAUCGUUACAUUUUUGCGAUCCAGGGUGGUGAUGAAGCAAGAGAAGACCUGAUGGUAGGCAACACCACUUUGUUGACGAGUGAUUAUACCAAUCCAGCCAUCUUUUCAUUGAGUUUACUGUCAGAAAAUGCAUACAUCUCUGCAGUUAUUUUACAGAUAAAGCAAUUCAUCAUGAUCUGUACAGUUCAUGUCUACACUCUGAGUAGACAUGAUCUGCAGAGGCAUUUGGUUGAGUUGGUGACAGUCUGGCAGGUACACAUGAUCUGCACAGGCAUUUGGUUGACCCUGCAAUCUAACCAUUUCUUACUGUUGUUGCCGUGUUGGUGUUUGUGCUGAAAGGAUCGUGAAGCGUCCGUGCCUGCGGUACAGGUCUCACAUGGGCCGCAAUUUAUCGAGGUCCGUACCUCUAUGAUGCUCUCGGAUUAAUGGCCGCCAUUUGUCUAUGCGCAACCAGAUGAGCAUACCUAGGGUCCAGAGAUGGCAUCGAUUCUGUGCUGCUGAUCGAGAUUUGAAUCAAUACUAAUUUUUAAAGGCUCUGUGUCUGGCUUUGUGGAUCCUAUGUAGGUAGUGAGUGGUGUCUGAGGUAAUUGUGUCCAUGGAAUAAUCUUGACCUGAAAUAUCGUUUGGAUGGAGCACUGUGCAAUACAUACAUUUGUGCCAGAGGAAGAUGGAAAUGUAAAUUUUCUUUUUAAUGCACCAUUUGGAACCUAGGAAAUUUUCCUGGAAAGUUCCUUUUUUUACCCUAGACACUGGUUUAUUUGAAAUCCUGCAUUUCAAACUUGAGUUUGUUCGAUUUGCAUAUGGGGGACCCUCUGAUAUUUCAGACCCUGGUUUGGAUGCUCCAAAUGAUAAAUGUUUUUGGACAAUGGUAUUUACAGGUGCCAAACCAGCAAGUUCCAUUGUGCUCGGUGCCAAGACUGUUAGCUGUGUCUGGCUGAUGGGUGAUGUGGCGGACUCCAGGCUCAUUUUAUUUUGAGCAGUGGUAACAUGGUUCAAAAUGUGUUUGCAUCUGAAAGAUAUGUUAG
This 4267-nucleotide long non-coding RNA is filed under the name Triticum aestivum (bread wheat). Its description in RNAcentral is "long non-coding RNA (TAES_LNC018432)". Lineage: Eukaryota; Viridiplantae; Streptophyta; Magnoliopsida; Poales; Poaceae. The record is from RNAcentral.